CGGAAGUGGAGCGCGAGGGGCGGCGGCCGCCUCGGGGCCGGGGAGGCCUGUCGGGAUGCUGCCCUGAAACCGGGUUUCUGAGGAGCUCUGUCGGAAUAAACUCACGAGGAAAGCGGCGGGCCACCGGCAACGCCGAGAGGGACCGUAGAUAUCGGGCUGUUGCUCGAGUGCUGGUAGAUCUCGCUGGAAUGUCGUGUUUCCACUCCCAGCUUUCCAUUUUGAUUACUUAGGAGUUUGUUAAAAGAAAAGACGAUAAUAUUUUUCAUGUUAGAUGUUUCAGGCAUCCUCAGAAGUACACGAGGACUGUGUUGCAUUGGCCUACAGUAAAACACUGAUCUCCACAAGCAGUCCCCACACUUUUGGGACUACAUAGAUGGUCGUGAGGUGUUCCUGUCCCAAGGACAUCUGAAUACUGCCACAUACCACGUGUGCAGCUGAAAUGUUUCAUCCUCUGUUACAUCCCAGUCAUGAUUGAUGGUCCAGGGAAGGAUUUAGGGAGGGCAACUUUAUUGAAUCAAGUCAGAGGAUGUUGUGGAUUUGGAGAUACUUGACCCACAAAGAGAUGUUGACUACAGAUUUGAAGCUCUUCAAAACUUCAAAGCUCUGCAAAGAGGUAACAGUUUGAAAGGGCAAGUUUCCAAGAUUUGUAGGACUGACCCUGAAACUCCAAAUAUCAGAGUGAAGAGGAACCAGAGGUAGUGUGCUGUUAAUAGCCUUUUGCUGGAAGCUGGGCUUUUGUCUUCUGUUUGCAUGUAGAACUGUGAAGUUCUGAUACCUUUGUAGACUUCUGUGAGCUACAAAAAUACCAAUAAUAGACUAAUACUAGCAAAAACAUCUGCAUGCCUUGAAUGCCAGGUUGGAUAGGGCUUUGAGCAGCCUGGUCUAGUGCAAGGUUCCCUGUCAAUGGCAGAAUGGUUGAAACAAAAUCAUCUUUUAAGGUUCC
Motacilla alba alba is the source of this 943-nucleotide long non-coding RNA. RefSeq lists it as uncharacterized. The record is from RefSeq and is a predicted model, not a curated record. The transcript has 3 exons. Lineage: Eukaryota; Metazoa; Chordata; Aves; Passeriformes; Motacillidae.